RNAcentral lists this ribosomal RNA (466 nucleotides) under uncultured bacterium. RNAcentral describes it as "partial 16S ribosomal RNA". It matches the Rfam family "Bacterial small subunit ribosomal RNA", at positions 28 to 507 of the family's 1533-position model. The record is from RNAcentral.
GACGAACGCUGGCGGCGUGCUUAACACAUGCAAGUCGAACGGAAAGGCCUCUUUCGGGGGGUACUCGAGUGGCGAACGGGUGAGUAACACGUGAGUAACCUGCCCUUGACUUUGGGAUAACUUCAGGAAACUGGGGCUAAUACCGGAUAGGAGCUCCUGCUGCAUGGUGGGGGUUGGAAAGUUUCGGCGGUUGGGGAUGGACUCGCGGCUUAUCAGCUUGUUGGUGGGGUAGUGGCUACCAAGGCUUUGACGGGUAGCCGGCCUGAGAGGGUGACCGGCCACAUUGGGACUGAGAUACGGCCCAGACUCCUACGGGAGGCAGCAGUGGGGAAUAUUGCACAAUGGGUGGAAGCCUGAUGCAGCAACGCCGUGUGCGGGAUGACGGCCUUCGGGUUGUAAACCGCUUUCGCUCAUGACGAAGCUUUGUGUGACGGUAGUGGGUAAAGAAGCACCGGCUAACUACGUG